AUUGAACGCUGGCGGCAUGAUUUACACAUGCAAGUCGAACGGUAACAGGCCGCAAGGUGCUGACGAGUGGCGAACGGGUGAGUAAUGCAUCGGAACGUGCCCAGUCGUGGGGGAUAACUACUCGAAAGAGUAGCUAAUACCGCAUACGAUCUAUGGAUGAAAGCGGGGGACCGUAAGGCCUCGCGCGAUUGGAGCGGCCGAUGUCAGAUUAGGUAGUUGGUGGGGUAAAGGCUCACCAAGCCAACGAUCUGUAGCUGGUCUGAGAGGACGACCAGCCACACUGGGACUGAGACACGGCCCAGACUCCUACGAGAGGCAGCAGUGGGGAAUUUUGGACAAUGGGCGCAAGCCUGAUCCAGCAAUGCCGCGUGCAGGAAGAAGGCCUUCGGGUUGUAAACUGCUUUUGUACGGAACGAAACGGCUCUGGUUAAUACCCGGGGCUAAUGACGGUACCGUAAGAAUAAGCACCGGCUAACUACGUG
This 482-nucleotide ribosomal RNA is filed under the name uncultured bacterium. RNAcentral's name for it is "partial 16S ribosomal RNA". It matches the Rfam family "Bacterial small subunit ribosomal RNA", at positions 30 to 507 of the family's 1533-position model. The record is from RNAcentral.